Molecule: ribosomal RNA, 253 nt
Filed under: uncultured bacterium
Lineage: Bacteria
Description: partial 16S ribosomal RNA
Rfam family: Bacterial small subunit ribosomal RNA
Source: RNAcentral
UACGGAGGGUGCGAGCGUUGUUCGGAAUUACUGGGCGUAAAGCGCGUGCAGGCGGUCGAGCAAGUCAGAUGUGAAAGCCUCUCGCUCAACGAGAGAAGUGCAUUUGAAACUACUCGGCUGGAGUUCGGGAGAGGAGAGUGGAAUUCCUGGUGUAGAGGUGAAAUUCGUAGAUAUCAGGAGGAACACCGGUGGCGAAGGCGGCUCUCUGGCCCGAUACUGACGCUGAGACGCGAAAGCGUGGGGAGCAAACAGG